GAGGAGCGCAAGCCUCCUAGCUCCUUGUUCCCGCCACUCCGCACGCGGAGCGGUCUCGCGAUCGGAACUACAUUUCCCAGUAGCCUUUGCGGCGAGGCUGGCCGAGCGGACUACAGUUCCCAGAGGCCCUGAAGGCGGGAGAGGAGGCGGGCGCUGUGUAAGGGAGGCUGGGCGCCGCUACCCUAGCGGGCGGCCUCUGCCAGGCGCGGCUAGCGGUCUUUUCUGCUGUGGUGGCAGUGACGAUUCGGGAGACGGGAGACGCAGGGUCGGAAAUGCGUGGUGGGCUGGGCCCGGCCUUGUGCAGAGUCCGGCAGAUAAUAGAAUGUGUCCCUUCCAGCUGGGCCUGAGGCGUCCGAAUCAACCGUGGAGGAAAACGAAGAUGACAUCCAGUUUGUGAGUGAGAGACCAUCAAUACCUGUUCUUGAAUACAUUGAGCUGAUCUGUGGUGAUGAUAAAGAGCCUAGAACCUAUGGUAGUGAUAGGCAGUAGAAUUACAAGAAGAAAUGGGGUGAGAAUAGCAGAGCGUGUCGCAAAAGAAAUGAAGAUGACAAUAUUUAAGGAUAUUAUAGAAGAGAAGGCCAAAAUCUGUGUUACAGUUGAUGAGGCAUCCGCGGUUUCAAAGAAGAGGAUCCUCGUGAUUUAUGUCCAGUACACAGUAGAGUCAGCUCCUGCACCGGUUAUGUUGUUUGUUACUUUACAGGAACUGGUGUCAGCCACAGCAGAAUGUGUCUUCAAUACGUUAUUGAGCACUUCAAAUGAUUGUGGCUUCGCUAAUGAAUAUUUGAAAGCAAAUUUAAUUGCAUUUUGUCCUGAUGGUGCUAAUAUAAUGCUGGGUAGAAAGUCUGGAGUAGCCACAAAGUUGUGAGAAAAUUUUCCUGAAAUAAUUAUUUGGAACUGUUUAAACCAUCAGUUGCAUUUGUCACUUGAUGAUUCAAUAUCUGAAAUAAAACAAGUGAAUCAUUUAAAAAUACUUCUUGAUAAAAGUUGUUCCAAGUAUCAUCCGCCUAAUAAAAAUCAACACAAGCUUUUAGGGAAUGUACCUAAAGAUCUUGAAGUUGAAAUUCUUAAAAUUGGCCAGGUAAAGGGACCCAAGUAGGCAGCUUGUAGUCUACAACCAGCUACUGCUGUGUGGCAUGCAUAUCCUGUAUAUAUUUGCAUUUCUCUCAUUUGCAUUCUGGUUUGGCCAAGAGGUUAGCUAACGUUCCAAUUUCUUGUAAAACCUUGCUUUAAUGAUUGACAUUCUUGAAUAAUUUUGACUACUUUUAACUGCACUACAGUCAAGCUCAACUAACAUUCAGAAAGCACAAAAAUUGAUCAAAUGCACAAUAAAAACCUUGGAAAAUUUAAAAAUUGGUACUGGAAAGCAUGAAUCUCAAAUCGAAAGUUUGAUUAAAUCAGGUAAAUUUAAAGAUACUCCAUUUUGUAGAAAUAAUAAAUUUAAUGCCCUUCCUAGGAACAUGUUACUAGAAAAUGUAAUUCAACACAUGAACUUAUGUCUUUUAUCGAACAGGAAGCAUGAUGAAAGUAUUUUGAAUUAUUUUAAUUUGCUAGAACUUUCUACAUGGCCUUAUGAAGAAAUAACUUCACCAUGGAUAACUGGUGAAAAAAAAUUAUUUGUGUGAAAUUUUAAAAUUUGAAAUUGAUUUGAAUGAUUUUAGGGAAUUUGUAAAUAAUAAUAUAAAGUCAAACAAUAUUUCAGUUCCUAAAGCUAAUAGCACCAUUGUAGUCAGUACUGCUGAAGUAGUGCUGAAGCUGAAAGAGGUUUCCAUUUAAUGAACAUAAUUUGUACAAGGGUGAGAAACAGUUUAACUAUAGGUCAUAUAUCCGAUUUAAUGACAAUGAAUCUGUUGGAAAAAGAAUUAGCUGGUUGGGAUGCAACUGCCUUUGUAAAAUCCUGGUCAAACUGCAACCACAGGUUAGCUAUAGAUACGAGAGUUCAGCAAAAGUCAACAAGAGCCUAUGAGAAUCAGCUGGCUCUCUGGAACUUACAAUAAAGGGUAUUGUGUUGGAAUUCCCUUGUGGUCCAGUGGUUAGGACUCGGUGCUUUCACUGCUGUGGCCUUGGUUCAGUCCCUGGUAGGGAAACAAAGAUCCUGCAAGCUCGCCAGAAAUAGGAUUGUGUAUGAUUUGUUAUUUGUAAGUUAUGUGUUCUGCACACUAUAUAUACAUAAAUUUUUAUUUUGAAAGUCAGUUGUUAAACUUUUAUCCAUAUAUUGCUGUUUAAAGGCAUUCUCCAAAGGGAUUGUUUUUAGGAGCAGUGAUUGUUUUUAGGAGCAGUGGGUUUUUAGAGGUUGGCCCAUGUCUGCUAGAGUAGGCUGAAUAUGUAUUUCAUGGACUCUAUAAGAACAUCCAAUGAUUCCACUUUUGCUUUGUUUUACAUUUAGUAAGGAUAUAAUAGAGUAAUAUAACCCAGAUUACUUCUAAACCCUGAAAGUUAUAGCAAAUAAAAGAAAAAUAGAAUAAAAACUACAAUCCUUGUGGCUUUUGUCUUUCUUAUUUCCCUAUCUAUGUUAUCAAAUAUGGUAACCACUAGCAACAUAUGCCUAUUAACAUUCGAAAUGAGUAGGACUAAGGAAGCAAAUAUUUAAUUUUAAUUAAAUAUAAAAAGGAAAAUAGUGUAAAAUAUUUUAUUGAACUCACUUGUUUUUUAAAAAAUACAUUUUAAGUUUGUUAUCUUGCUUAAAAGGUGAUUGUUAGAGUGUGCUAAGUCUGGUAUUACAUAUAAACAUUACUGAGUUAGUGUCAGUGUAUGUAUUCAGUGUAUUUUUUCCUUUGAAUCAAUGUAACAUAGUGUGUUUAUCUGAAUAUUUUAGGUUGACAAAAGGAAUUAUAGUGAUUACUUUUGCAAAUCAGAGUUGGUGAUUAAAAUAAGGUGCUUGAUUAUUUUUCUAUUUUAGACAUGAAUACGAACAAUUUUUAGUUUAAAAUGAAGGCAUACUGAAAAGAACAAGCAGAGCUGCAGAAGCUAGUACUGCACCUAGGACAGCAAACAGAAAGGCUGGAGGAAGGUAUAUGGCGUUCUCACAGUGAAUGACGGCUGCAGUUUGUUACGGCAGAGAGAAACAAGCUAUAAUUUUACAAAAAAUAAGACAGUAAAGUCGACAAUAUUGAGACAGUUCCAGAAAAUGCAUAAUGAAUGAAUGAAUGAAGUUACCUUUCAAAGGUCAAAAAAGAAUUGAAAUUAAGGCACCUGAAAUCUCAGUGGAAUUUCUAACAAAAAUUUUUUAAAGGAUUGAGUAUGUUAAAUUUGGCCAGAUAUGAAACACCUUGAAUUCUUGCAUGAAAAAGAACUAGCUUUACGUAGAUAGGUAGUUAUAUUAAUUAUUUCAGUUAUAGAAAUUGUUAGAAAUUUAUGAGUUAAAGCCUGAAAAUAUCUUUUGAAAAAAAGUACAGUCUUUAGUUGUCACCAGACGUUGCUUGUGGAACACAGAAAUUUAUAACAGUAUUAAAGAUUAAUUGAUUCAAAAGCUGAAAAAUUACAAGUACAUUUCUUUAGCUUUAGAUGAGUUAUGUAACAGAAGAGUUGCUGUCCAACGAACACUUGGAGUACCUUUUGUCUCAUCAGGCUUAAAAGCUUAUGAAAUAACUUUCAGUUCAUGGCCUGAGAAGUCAAAUGUGUAUAGCUAUAUUUUAAUUAAUUAUCAAAAGAAUUUCAGCUAGAUGAGGAAAAAAACCCAACUUUUUGUCACAAUAACUGGUGUUCCAGCUAGGUUAGGUCAAUGUCAGAUUUCACUGGGAUUUUUAAAUGAGUCGUGUUUCCCUUAUUUCUUUGUUCCAUUGUUUGAUACAGUUUGAAAGUAUCUGGGCUCAGUUUUCUGAAAUGGUUUCUCUGAGAGAUGUCAUGAGUACAGUCGUUAGGUGUUAAGUGCUAUGAAUCAAUGUCAGCUUAUAGGAGGAUUGCUGAACAAAUUAAAAGACAGUAAAUUUAGUGAUCUCUGCCAGUUGGUUGUAUUGUGAAAGAAACUUACUAUACCAUAAACAUCAGUUCAAGAUUUUCCUGCAACAACAGAAAUGCUAGCCAAAUACUUAAUUAGUAAUUAGAGAAAAUGGCAGUUUUGUGCCCAGUAUUACAUAGCAUAUGAAUGAUCUAAAUUUGAAACUCCAAAUAUGGGGAAAAGCCCAUUUCUGCUACCUAGACAAGUACUAGAAUUUAUUUUGAAAUUGAAACUUUAAAAAUCAGGUAACUUCACACAUAUUUCUAAUAUGAAUUAGUAUGGGUCAGAUUUUAACUUUGACAGGUAUAUAAAUUUACUAUAAAAACUACAAGAAAAAAAAUUUUAAUGUUAUUUUUGAUCAGUUUAGAGUUGCUUUUCAAUUUAUCCCCUAACACUGAAUUCAGUAUUAAUGAUACUGAAUUGACAUAAGAUUUAUUGAAUUUACUUAAUUUGGACAAAUGUAGUUUGUAAACUGAUGUGCUUUUGCUCUGAAGGCAAAUCAAUUCUUUUAAAAAAGGUGAACAGGAAUUUUUCUGUGUGGAUUUAAAAAUAAAAAUAUUUUCUUUAAGUCUCCUUGUGUCAUUCUUGCUCCUUCCAAUCCAUCCUCCAUAAUAACUCAGGAAUGGCCAUUCUGAAAUAUACAUUUAUUCUUAAAACUUUUAUUGGUCAACAAGAUAUUCAGAUAACAGAAAACCUAACUUAAAUCACUUGAAUGGACUUAUUUUGAAUAACAAAUCUGGAGAGGGCUGCAGGCUUUGCUUGAGUAGCUUAAUAGUGUCAUUACUGUGUUAUCUGGGAUGCUUUUGGCCUUUUAGGGUUAUAGGAUGGCUGGCACAAUUUUGUACAUGCUGGAUUGAAGGCAAGAAGGCCAGGCUGGAACAAACCCUGGAUAUCAAAAAAUUAAGAGCUUUGCCAGAAGCCUUUUCAAGUGGGUUUGCAUUUCACUGGCCAGAAGUGUAUGAAUGUGGCCAUCCUUCAUUGCAGUUGAGGCUUAGAAUGUGAGCUUUUACAUUUCCUGCUUCAGUAAUAAAGGUAGGCAAGCGGGGGAGGAAUGUGGUUUACCAUUUUUCUCCCCUGCUGAAAAUUCUUUGCUAGUUUCCUAUUGUCUUCAAUCUUUCUGCUUCCCUUAUAAGAGUUCAAUUUUUUGUCUCCGCACUACCUCCUCUAACUAGGUAGUGAGUUUCUGGGAAAGAGUUGGGCAUUGGUGAUUAGUAAUGUCUAUCACAUAAUAAUAGAAUCUCAGUAAAUGUUUGCUUAGUUUUGGGUGUUUCCUAUAUGUCAGUUCAUUUUUUUGAGUUGUUUACAUCUCUAAAUAUUCCUAUUUCCCAGUGAACUUUUAAGGGAGA
Long non-coding RNA from Capra hircus (goat), 5280 nucleotides. Lineage: Eukaryota; Metazoa; Chordata; Mammalia; Artiodactyla; Bovidae. The record is from Ensembl.